GGUUCGGCGGGCCACGAACUCCCCUAAAGAACCUGAGGUAAAGAACCCCCCACCCACCCUCCCUUCCCGCAUGUCACCCGUACGAGUGACCGGCUUGCGGGUGUGGGAUGCAGCCGGUUACGUUCGCCGCAACAACCCCAGACAGACGACGGCCCCCGGCCGGGACUGGCAUCCCGAACGAGGGCCUGACCGAUCAGGAAGCAGAGACCUUCCCG
RNAcentral lists this non-coding RNA (215 nucleotides) under Streptomyces bingchenggensis BCW-1. RNAcentral describes it as "Streptomyces sRNA 4677". It matches the Rfam family "Streptomyces sRNA 4677". From Rfam's summary of the family: Located in the intergenic region between anti-sigma factor SCO4677 gene and a putative regulatory protein gene SCO4676. scr4677 expression requires the SCO4677 activity and scr4677 sRNA itself seem to affect the levels of the SCO4676-associated transcripts. Lineage: Bacteria; Bacillati; Actinomycetota; Actinomycetes; Kitasatosporales; Streptomycetaceae. The record is from Rfam by way of RNAcentral.